AGCAGCCGCGGUAAUUCCAGCUCCAAUAGCGUAUAUUAAAGUUGUUGCAGUUAAAAAGCUCGUAGUUGAACUUCGGGGUUUACCCAUUGGUCAGGCUUAAUUGUCUGUACUGGUGAGAUAAAUCUCUACCUUCUGAGGAACUUUCAUGUCAUUAAUUUGGUGUGAUUGGAAAUCAGGACUGUUACUUUGAAAAAUUAGAGUGUUUAAAGCAGGCUAACGUCUGAACACAUUAGCAUGGAAUAAUGAAAUAGGACGGACUGAUUCUAUUUCGUUGGUUUCUAGGAUCACCGUAAUGAUUAAUAGGGAUAGUUGGGGGCAUUAGUAUUCAAUUGUCAGAGGUGAAAUUCUUGGAUUUAUUGAAGACUAACUACUGCGAAAGCAUUUGCCAAGGAUGUUUUCAUUAAUCAAGAACGAAAGUUAGGGGAUCGAAGACGAUCAGAUACCGUCGUAGUCUUAACCAUAAACUAUGCCGACUAGGGAUCGGACGAAGUUAAUUUUAUAAUGACGCGUUCGGCACCUU
RNAcentral lists this ribosomal RNA (520 nucleotides) under uncultured Diversispora. RNAcentral describes it as "SSU rRNA". It matches the Rfam family "Eukaryotic small subunit ribosomal RNA", at positions 569 to 1089 of the family's 1831-position model. Lineage: Eukaryota; Fungi; Glomeromycota; Glomeromycetes; Diversisporales; Diversisporaceae. The record is from RNAcentral.